AGUGAACGCUGGCGGUAGGCCUAACACACGCAAGUCGAACGGCAGCACAGUAAGAGCUUGCUCUUACGGGUGGCGAGUGGCGGACGGGUGAGGAAUACAUCGGAAUCUACUUUUUCGUGGGGGAAAACGUAGGGAAACUUACGCUAAUACCGCAUACGACCUACGGGUGAAAGCAGGGGUUCUUCGGACCUUGCGCGACUGAAUGAGCCGAUGUCGGAUUAGCUAGUUGGCGGGGUAAAGGCCCACCAAGGCGACGAUCCGUAGCUGGUCUGAGAGGAUGAUCAGCCACACUGGAACUGAGACACGGUCCAGACUCCUACGGGAGGCAGCAGUGGGGAAUAUUGGACAAUGGGCGCAAGCCUGAUCCAGCCAUGCCGCGUGGGUGAAGAAGGCCUUCGGGUUGUAAAGCCCUUUUGUUGGGAAAGAAAAGCAGCAGGUUAAUCCCCCGCUGUUCUGACGGUACCCAAAGAAUAAGCACCGGCUAACUUCGUG
Molecule: ribosomal RNA, 492 nt
Filed under: uncultured bacterium
Lineage: Bacteria
Description: partial 16S ribosomal RNA
Rfam family: Bacterial small subunit ribosomal RNA
Source: RNAcentral